This 118-nucleotide ribosomal RNA is filed under the name Cercospora cf. nicotianae CPC 22019. RNAcentral describes it as "partial 28S ribosomal RNA". Lineage: Eukaryota; Fungi; Ascomycota; Dothideomycetes; Mycosphaerellales; Mycosphaerellaceae. The record is from RNAcentral.
GUUGUGAUUUCAUUAAUCGCUUCGGAGCGCGGGCGGUCGCGGCCGUUAAAUCUUUCACAAGGUUGACCUCGGAUCAGGUAGGGAUACCCGCUGAACUUAAGCAUAUCAAUAAGCGGAG